This is a long non-coding RNA of Nanorana parkeri, 125 nucleotides long. RefSeq lists it as uncharacterized. NCBI's taxonomy places the organism in Eukaryota, Metazoa, Chordata, Amphibia, Anura, Dicroglossidae. The transcript is spliced from 3 exons. The record is from RefSeq and is a predicted model, not a curated record.
CUCACCACCUCUCCGGCGCGGGGGCCGGCGCGUAGAGCCGCUCGCCUCGGGGCCGGUGCGCGGACGGAAGUGGGCCGCCUCUCUCCCGGAGCGCAUCGCAUGUUCAUUGGGAACCCGGUGCUAAA